GACGAACGCUGGCGGCGUGCUUAACACAUGCAAGUCGAACGGAAAGGCCCCCAUCUUGGUGGGGGUGCUCGAGUGGCGCACGGGUGAGUAACACGUGGGUGAUCUGCCCUGUACUUCGGGAUAAGCUUGGGAAACUGGGUCUAAUACCGGAUAGGACCAUGGUUUAGUGUCUCAUGGUGGAAAGAUUAUUGUUUUGGUGCAGGAUGAGCUUGCGGCCUUUCGGCUUUGUGGUGGGGUAAUGGCCUACCAAGGCGUCGACGGGUAGCCGGCCUGGGAGGGUGGACGGCCACAUUGGGACGGAGAUACGGCCCAGACUCCUACGGGAGGCAGCAGUGGGGAAUAUUGCACAAUGGGCGCAAGCCUGAUGCAGCGACGCCGCGUGGGGGAUGACGGCCUUCGGGUUGUAAACUCCUUUCGUUAGGGACGAAGCCGCACUUUUUUUGGGUGUGGUGACGGUACCUUUGUUAAGAAGCACCGGCUAACUACGUG
Molecule: ribosomal RNA, 489 nt
Filed under: uncultured bacterium
Lineage: Bacteria
Description: partial 16S ribosomal RNA
Rfam family: Bacterial small subunit ribosomal RNA
Source: RNAcentral